GCCUGUUUUACAAAAACAUAGCCUAUAACUUAACUUUAGGUACAACCCUGCCCUCUGAAAUUUUAACAGCCGCGGUAUCCUAACCGUGCUAAGGUAGCAUAAUCAUUUGCCUAUUAAUUAUAGGCUAGCAUGAACGGGAUCACUCACUUAAAUUUAUUUUCACUACAAUUAAAAUUAAACUUUAAGUUAAAAUACUAAAUUUUUAAGAAAGACAAAAAGACCCUGAAAACUAUUAGAAGAUAAUUAGUUGGGGCAACUAUAGACCAUAAACAGCGUCUAUUAAAAUUCGAAUUUUAAAAUUCAAAGCACACAGUUACUUCAGGGAUAACAGACUAAUUGUAUUAUUUAGACCUAAUAAAUAAUAAAGAUUGGCACCUCGAUGUUGGCUUAUAAUUCCUUCAUAUAGUAACAUAUAUUGAUGGCAGCUUGUUCAUCUGAUAAAUAUUUACAUGAGCUGAGUUCAGACCGGCGUAAGC
This 476-nucleotide ribosomal RNA is filed under the name Stygocapitella sp. 169_38. Its description in RNAcentral is "partial large subunit ribosomal RNA". It matches the Rfam family "Bacterial large subunit ribosomal RNA", at positions 1798 to 2626 of the family's 2925-position model. Lineage: Eukaryota; Metazoa; Annelida; Polychaeta; Parergodrilidae. The record is from RNAcentral.